GGGUCUGUAGCUCAGCUGGUUAGAGCACCGUCUUGAUAAGGCGGGGGUCGUUGGUUCUGAGCCCAACCAGACCCACCA
RNAcentral lists this transfer RNA (78 nucleotides) under Polaromonas sp. P1-6. RNAcentral's name for it is "tRNA-Ile". It matches the Rfam family "tRNA". Rfam says of the family: Transfer RNA (tRNA) molecules are approximately 80 nucleotides in length. Their secondary structure includes four short double-helical elements and three loops (D, anti-codon, and T loops). The record is from RNAcentral. Lineage: Bacteria; Pseudomonadati; Pseudomonadota; Betaproteobacteria; Burkholderiales; Comamonadaceae.